RNAcentral lists this ribosomal RNA (779 nucleotides) under uncultured archaeon. RNAcentral describes it as "bacterial SSU rRNA". It matches the Rfam family "Archaeal small subunit ribosomal RNA", at positions 516 to 1291 of the family's 1478-position model. The record is from RNAcentral.
CGUCCGUAGCUGGCCGGACAAGUCCGUUGGGAAAUCUGUUCGCUUAACGAGCAGGCGUCCAGCGGAAACUGUUCGGCUUGGGACCGGAAGACCUGAGGGGUACGUCCGGGGUAGGAGUGAAAUCCUGUAAUCCUGGACGGACCACCGGUGGCGAAAGCGCCUCAGGAGGACGGAUCCGACAGUGAGGGACGAAAGCUAGGGUCUCGAACCGGAUUAGAUACCCGGGUAGUCCUAGCUGUAAACGAUGCCCGCUAGGUGUGGCGCAGGCUACGAGCCUGCGCUGUGCCGUAGGGAAGCCGAGAAGCGGGCCGCCUGGGAAGUACGUCUGCAAGGAUGAAACUUAAAGGAAUUGGCGGGGGAGCACUACAACCGGAGGAGCCUGCGGUUUAAUUGGACUCAACGCCGGACAUCUCACCAGCUCCGACAGUAGUAAUGACGGUCAGGUUGAUGACCUUACCCGAUGCUACUGAGAGGAGGUGCAUGGCCGCCGUCAGCUCGUACCGUGAGGCGUCCUGUUAAGUCAGGCAACGAGCGAGACCCGCACUCCUAAUUGCCAGCAGUACCCUUUGGGUAGCUGGGUACAUUAGGUGGACUGCCGCUGCUAAAGCGGAGGAAGGAACGGGCAACGGUAGGUCAGUAUGCCCCGAAUGAGCUGGGCAACACGCGGGCUACAAUGGUCGAGACAAUGGGAUGCAACUCCGAGAGGAGGCGCUAAUCUCCUAAACUCGAUCGUAGUUCGGAUUGAGGGCUGAAACUCGCCCUCAUGAAGCUGGAUUCGG